This 329-nucleotide long non-coding RNA is filed under the name Elaeis guineensis (African oil palm). RNAcentral describes it as "long non-coding RNA (EGUI_LNC028775)". Lineage: Eukaryota; Viridiplantae; Streptophyta; Magnoliopsida; Arecales; Arecaceae. The record is from RNAcentral.
UGUGGUGUAUAUUCACUUGAGCUCCCUAUCUACUAAUAAUCUGAUAAAAAAAAUAUAAUGAUAAUUAAAUAAUUUGAAUAUAAAUAUUAUUGUUGAUUAGUAUCAUUAGUUGUACAUUUUUUUCUUUAACUCAUGCUGCCAUCACUGUCUUUUUCCCAGAGCUAGAACUAGGCUCGGGUCUGUCCAAAGCCCAUUGGGCUGAGCCAACUUCAAAUCAAGUUUUGGGCUCAAUCCAAAAUAGUUUAGGUUGGAUUUAGGCUAAAUAUAGGAUCCGUUUGUCUUUUGGGUUGGAUUUGGACAUAUCUUCGGCCCGACUCGGGCUUGAGCCC